RNAcentral lists this ribosomal RNA (301 nucleotides) under uncultured bacterium. RNAcentral describes it as "partial 16S ribosomal RNA". It matches the Rfam family "Bacterial small subunit ribosomal RNA", at positions 509 to 807 of the family's 1533-position model. The record is from RNAcentral.
CAGUCGCCGCGGUAAUACGAAGGUCCCGAGCGUUGUUCGGAAUCACUGGGCGUAAAGGGAGCGUAGGCGGCGUGGUACGUCAGAUGUGAAAUCCCGGGGCUCAACCCCGGAACUGCAUCCGAUACUGCCGUGCUAGAGGAUUGGAGAGGUAGCUGGAAUUCUUGGUGUAGCAGUGAAAUGCGUGGAGAUCAAGAGGAACACUCGUGGCGAAAGCGAGCUACUGGACAAUAUCUGACGCUGAGGCUCGAAGGCCAGGGUAGCGAAAGGGAUUAGAUACCCCUGUAGUCCCUGUCUCUUAUAC